AUACCCUAUUAUUUUAAGCUAUAUAUUGGUAGUAAUUAAUAAUUUAUGAAAUCAUAAGAUUUUGGCGGUAUUUUAAGCUUAUUAGAGGAAUUUGCUCUGUAAUGGAUACAACGCCUUAAUCUUACUUAAUUUGGUUUUAAAGUCAGUUUGUAUACCACUAUAUUUAAUUAUAUUGAAUAAUUAUAUUUAAGAUUUUUUUUUUAUAAAAAAUAUAUUAAGUCAAGGUGCAAUUUAUAAUUAUGAAUGAAGUGAAUUACAUUAAUUUUAAUUUUACUUAAAUAUUGAAAAAAAAUUAUAGGAUUUAAUAGUAAAA
Molecule: ribosomal RNA, 313 nt
Filed under: Ixodes affinis
Lineage: Eukaryota; Metazoa; Arthropoda; Arachnida; Ixodida; Ixodidae
Description: partial 12S ribosomal RNA
Source: RNAcentral